Molecule: ribosomal RNA, 254 nt
Filed under: uncultured bacterium
Lineage: Bacteria
Description: partial 16S ribosomal RNA
Rfam family: Bacterial small subunit ribosomal RNA
Source: RNAcentral
UACGAAGGGGGCUAGCGUUGUUCGGAUUUACUGGGCGUAAAGCGCACGUAGGCGGAUUGUUAAGUGAGAGGUGAAAUCCCGGAGCUCAACUCCGGAACUGCCUUUCAUACUGGCAAUCUAGAGUCCGGAAGAGGUGAGUGGAACUCCUAGUGUAGAGGUGGAAUUCGUAGAUAUUAGGAAGAACACCAGUGGCGAAGGCGGCUCACUGGUCCGGUACUGACGCUGAGGUGCGAAAGCGUGGGGAGCAAACGGGG